This 6132-nucleotide long non-coding RNA is filed under the name Coffea arabica (coffee). RNAcentral describes it as "long non-coding RNA (CARA_LNC003520)". Lineage: Eukaryota; Viridiplantae; Streptophyta; Magnoliopsida; Gentianales; Rubiaceae. The record is from RNAcentral.
CAAGGAAUUCGGUAGAGCCCCACUUUUGGUUUGAUUCUCAAUUCCAGCGGGGACCACAGGGAUAAGAAGCUUUAGUCAUUGUUGGCUUUAAAAAGGAGACAAACGUGCAGAGAACUCUUAUCGAUCAAUAGUUUUAGUUUAGGCUUUUAGCAUAGUUUUAGUUUUCUUUUCUUAGCUCUUUCGCAUGGUUGUUCUCCAUUAAUGGAGGACUAACCUCUUAAUUCUAGUCAAGGGGACAACUGAAGACUUGAUUCAACAAUUACUGUGAGAUCGAAAUUAUUUUAAUCGCUUCCUCAUUUAUUGGUAUUUAUGUGUUUCCUGUUUUUAAUUAUUAUAGUCCUUAUGUAUGAUUGAUUAGUGCGCAAUAAUUAAUUAUUCAUAUAGGCUAAUUUGCUAAAUAGAGGUAAUUGAAUCCGUAAUUGUUCGUUAUCUCUAUCUUAGUAGCAACUGGCGUAAUUGGGUUUAUGUCAGGGGAGCAUACGAUCUAGCUUAAACAAACCCUCGUAGCGUGUUUGUUAGUUAGGAUUGGGUCUUUCUAAUUAUUAAUGCAAUCUAGAAAUUAAAUCCUACGGUCGUACCUAGGGUUGUUUUUGGGUUAGAGAAAUAGUUAACGGUCGUACCUUAACUAUCGAGAAAUUAAGGAAAGGUUGGUUGUUUAUCGCGUGCAUGGCGACUAUAACUGGUCUAUUAAUAAAUGUGGAAUUAUCUGUGAGUCGAUGAUCAGUGCAUGAAUCAUUUCUGAAGUGUACCCUUGGCUAGAGUUUUCUCUUAAUUAUUUCUCUUAAUCAAUUAUUUCCUGCAGUUAAUUUAUUUAGUUAGUAUUUAAUCCAAAACCCCCCAUACUUUGGACUCUAGAAGAAACGAAUUAUCCCCAGUCCCUGUGGAUUCGACCCUACUAACCGCUAUAUACAAAAUCUGUAUUUUUCUCGAUUAGAUAUUUAUUAUUGUACAGGUUCGGCACCUGUCAAUUUUUGGCGCCGUUGCCGGGGACUGGUGCCAGAUUAAUUUGUUUCUUUUUGAGUUCAUCUUGUUUUUAUUUUUUUUAUUUAUUUUUCUCUUAUUUUUUUUUCUAUAUAGUUUAUGGCUUCUAACACUCCGUAUUUUGGUGAUGUACUAGAUUUUGUUUCCGGGGAAGGCGAUGAGACUAGCUUUUUUGCUAAGUUUGCAUAUUCAGAGGCAGUAAACUCUAUUAGAGAAAGAAUGGCUGCUGCAACCUGUAAAAUUUGUUAUGCCAGGGAUCAUUCAACCAGUAUGUGCCCCGAAUAUCAAGAUAAUCUGAGUGUCUCAUUCAAUAAUUAUGGAGAUUUUUCACCCUGGUCUCAAACGUGGUAUGACUCUUAUUCAAACGGGUAUGAUCAAGGAUGGUGGGAUAAUUCCAAUUAUAAUUGUACAACAGGACCAAUGAAUUUUCAGCAGUAUGAGUCUCAAGAAUCAUCAUCUAUGUCAGGUAUGUCUCUUGAAGAAAUAGUUGAAUCAAUAGCUACUAAUACAUACCAAUUUCAACAGGAGACACAAAUGAGAGAUGGAAUGAUGAGGGAGGCAAUGAGUAAUCUGGCAGAUCAAAUUGAAGAAUUGUCCUCGAAAAUCAUUGUUGAUCUGGAAGAGAAUGAGAGUGAAAUUUGCCUGACUAGUGAUGAGGAGCUGCAAGAUUUUCAAGAAGAGAGAUGUACAGAUGCAGUUGAAAAAGAAGCCGAAAAGGAAGAAAUGGAACCCCAACUGCAACCCAUUCAAGUGAAAGAAUCCAGUGAAGAAUCAUCAAAUGUGGUGACACCACCUCCAUUCCCUAACCCGCAUUUUCUUAACUCUUACUCCAUGAUUUCUGUUAAUGAGAUUGAUUUUGUUAUACCGGAAGUUUUUGAGUCUCAUUGCAGAAAUGAGUUAAGAGUAGCUAUGGUCAAAUAUCUUGAACCAUUGAAUGCUCUUGAUGGAGGAGUGGAUGAGGAAUGGAGAUCACUGCUUGAGUAUUUGACGCCAUUUACUAGUUUACAGAAGAUCGUAGCUCGUGUGUUGAAAGAUUACUCUAUUUACGAGGGCUAUCAGGACUAUAUAGAGGAUGAAACACUGAAACGAGCCUCAAGAUUUUAUCCUCCCUGAACAAACAUGACAAUGUCUAGCCAAAGACAUUAAAGAAAGGCGCUACUUGGGAGGCAACCCAAGACUAUUUAUUUUAGUUUUCAUACAUUUUGGAAAUUUGAGUUAAGUGUUAGUGUCAAUUAAUAGUUUGAUGUUUGGUGACAGGAUCUGCGGACUCUAUAGCAGUUAAGUGUGCCCCACGCCAGGUGGUCACUCCUGAGGGAAAGAAAUUUUCGUUCAGGAUCUGCGGACUCUAUAGCAGUUAAGCGUGCCCGCGCCAGGUGGUCACGCCUGAGGGAAAGAAAUUCUCGUUCAGGAUCUGCGGACUCUAUAGCAGUUGGGCGUGCCCACGCCUAAGACAGGAGUUCCUCGUUUCUCGUGAAAAAAAAAAGCAGAAAAAAUUUUCAAAGGGCACGAAGCCCUACUCUUUUCUUCUUCUUCUUUCUUUUCUUUUUCUUUCUUCUUUCUUCUUCUUUUUUUUUUCUUUUUCUCCUCCUUCUUCUUGUGUUUUCCUCGGCCGCCGUCCGCACGUCCGCCGCCAUUGACGCCCUCCAGCAGCUCCAUCGCCGCCCCUCCUCAGCCGCGCCUCUCCCCAUUUCGAUCUCUCUCUCCUCGCUGCCGUCCACCACCGAACGUCGCAGGUGUGCUCAGCUACACGCGGCCCUUGCUCCUCGCCGUAGCUGCUGUCCGCCGUGCCUCCAAGCCACCAUCGCCACCAGCCCUUCAGCCCUCCACUUGAGCACGCCACCAGCUCCUCGCAGCUUCUACCUCCACCACGGGCAGCUUCACUUCGCGGCCAGGAGCUGCCACGAGCCCGACAGAGCGCCGCCCAUCUCCCCCUUCGCUGACCAGUCCGCCGCCGCCUCUCCCUCACCAGCGGUCAACCUCGCACUUCACCAGGCGCUCCAGCUUCGCCCACAACCAGACCAGCUCGCGCGCCUCCACCACCAGCUCACGCCGCUGCCAGAUCUCCUCUCUCCACCACCACACGCGAGCUCUUCCUGCUUCACUCCUGAACAGUCACGCGACUGCAGCUAGCGCGCCACCCCCCACCAGCUCGCGCCACUCUACCCCAACCUCUUCACUGUUGCUGCUCCGCCACUCGAGCCAUUCCCACCUGUCCAAAUUGACAGGUGGAGGUAUUGUAAUUUCCUCUUCGAUUAGUGUUUUUCUGGUUCAUCAAUUCCUAAGAUUUUGCACAUUUUUUUUUUCGUGGGUUUUGUGGUGGCUGAAGCCAAUAAGUAAUUUGGGUAUUUUCUGGGUUUCAUUGUAAGGGUGCAAUUACGUCUAAUUGCUACCAUAUGUGGGGAUAUUUUCUGAUUUUUGUUAAAUUGUUGGUCGCCUGACCUUCCCUGUGUGUAUACCAGUGGUACUGGUUGGAGUUUUUUGUUUACAUUCAUUGAUUUUAUGUGGUCGCCUGUCUGAUUGCGAGCUAAUAACCUUGUACUUCUAUUGUUGUUCGCAUUUUGACCUGUGGUUGCUGAAAUUGCCAAUUUCUGGGGUCAUUUGCUAUUUUUCAUAGGUUGGAUUUCUUGUUGGAUAUAAGAGAGUGAUAUUUUGGGCAUUUUCUGGGGUUCACUUUGGGCUGAAUUGAGUUUAAUUGCUGCCAUAGUUGGGAUAUUUUCUGCGUUUUAGUGAAUUGUUGGCCGUUUGAUUACUUUUUGCCUGUGACUCACCAGUGGUACUGGUUGAGGCCUUUUGCCUAUCGGUAUUGCUGCUAUUUGAAGAUACUUGCUUAUUUUAAAGUUUAAGCUCUUGUGGUUGAGUUGCUGCCGUUGAAUUUAAUUCUUUCCUGUCUGUGCACCAGUGGUACUGGUUGUAGUGUUGCUUUCCAUUUCUUAAUCCUCUGUGCCGGACUACCUAUUUGAUUCUUGAGUUUUGGUGUCUGAACUGUUUCUAGACUUCUAACCAGUGGUCAAUUGCUAAUUUUAGCAGGUUGAAGUGGGUAAUUGACUGUCCAAUUGGAGACAGUUGUUCCGAUAUUGGGUCCGAUUGUGUCUAAUUGCUGAAAAUUGUUGAUUUACUAGGACACUAGCACAGUUCCUAGUUUGUUCGAGUUGCUGUUCUGUUGCAUUAUUGGGAGUUGUGCUCUAGUAUUGUGGCUACUUUCCUGCAUUUAUUUGUUGAAUUGGGAUAUGCAUGUGCCGUUUGCAUUUCCUUGUUGAAGUUGGUUGCUUCUAAUUCACUUGUUUGGACCACUUUGUUGCGAUUUUGGGGUCCAUUGAUUCUGCAUUUGACUAGUUUGGGACCACAGGUGCUUAUUGAUUGCCAGUGCUAUAAGUGUUGGGGUAUUUGUAUGUCCUCUGGGUGAUUGAAUUGUGCACUUUGCUCAUUGGGUUGGCUUUAAAAUUGUUAUUGCUUUGAAUUUCUGGCAUCCAUUAUUUGUUGGCAAUUGUAGUCUCUUAUUGCUUAGAGUGAUAUCGAGAGUCCAUGGUGAAGCCACGAAUGGCACCAGCUCCAGUUGUGAGUUGAUCCACAAUUUUCACCUGAACCGCCCCUAUUUUGAUGACUUCAGGGAAGUACCGUUGCCCCUCUCCUUCCUUCUGCUCUUACAUUAUCACAUUGAGGGUAAUGUGUGAAUUAGGUGUGGGGGGAUCGUUGUGGGGGGGAUCGUUGAACACCAAAUUUAAUGUUGGAUUGUUGUCUCUAAUUCUGAUAUUGCCAAGUUUUAGUAAUGAAAAGGUAUUAAGUUAAUGUGGUUGAGUUCAGGGGUAUCUCUUUGGUGAAUAUCGGUAAUUGUUUAACUUUUCCAAUUUUUGGUUAACUUUUCUAGGCAUAGGGAAUGAUUGUUAGCAUUUUUCAUGUGAAUUGGUCCAAUUAUUAAUUUUAGUUCUCCAUAUUUGGAAAUUUGAGACUGGCUGCUGUUAUUUCUGUUAUUGUGCUAUAUGGUUGUAAAUAAGAGUUGAUUGUACUCCGCUAGUGGUUACUACUGAGUAACCGGGGAUCUUCACCUAAAGUGUCGAUUCUCGCGUCAAAAGGUAGUUGUUACUAUGAGUGCGUGGUCCCGUAGCAAUUGGAGCUGAGUAACCGGGCUCCUCCAUCUGGCAAAUGUUGGAGUUCGCGUCAAAAGGCUCUAAGGGCUAUAGACUAAGUCUUUUGUUACUCAAAAAAAAAAAACAAGAAACAAAAAAAGAAAAGAAAAAAAAACAAAAUAAAGAAAAAAUAAAAUAAAGAUUGUGUUAGUAUGUGAAUAAGUCAGCUUGCCGGUUUGUGAUCUUAAUGUCGAGAUUUUGGUUAAUAGUUGGACCAUUUGCUGAUAAAUGUGAGCAACCAUUCCUUUUUCUUAGAUUAGUUUGUUUUAAAUUGGAGGAGUUGGUGGUUGAGAAGCUAACCGGAGUAGUUUUUCUUGGAUCUUAACUGUGAUGCUUGAUAUAUAUUUUUCUGGAUAUCUUGGCAAUAUGAUAGUUAGAGCAAUAGCCAUUGUCAAAUUUUGGUGUUCAAUUGCUAUUCUUAUACUUGAGGGCAAGCAUGAUUUAGGUGUGGGGGGAAUUGAUAGGGUGUUAAUUGUUGGUUAUUUUAUUGUUAAUUUUCCCCUUUAUCCUUGCCAAAUAUUGUUUUAAUUAUUAAUAUUUACUUAUAUUUGGUAUUGGACUCAAUUUCAGGAAGUGAAACAGAAAACUACAAAAAUGAGGAACUUUUUGGAGAUAAUUGGGAUUUCAAACAACCGGGCCCACAUGGUGCUACAAAGAGAUUGUAUUUUCUUUGCUGAUUAGGAGAUUGGAGUUCUACGGGCAAUAGGAAACUAAAAGCAAGGAAUUCGGUAGAGCCCCACUUUUGGUUUGAUUCUCAAUUCCAGCGGGGACCACAGGGAUAAGAAGCUUUAGUCAUUGUUGGCUUUAAAAAGGAGACAAACGUGCAGAGAACUCUUAUCGAUCAAUAGUUUUAGUUUAGGCUUUUAGCAUAGUUUUAGUUUUCUUUUCUUAGCUCUUUCGCAUGGUUGUUCUCCAUUAAUGGAGGACUAACCUCUUAAUUCUAGUCAAGGGGACAACUGAAGACUUGGUUCAACAAUUACUGUGAGAUCGAAAUUAUUUUAAUCGCUUCCUCAUUUAUUGGUAUUUA